This 440-nucleotide ribosomal RNA is filed under the name uncultured bacterium. RNAcentral's name for it is "partial 16S ribosomal RNA". It matches the Rfam family "Bacterial small subunit ribosomal RNA", at positions 338 to 795 of the family's 1533-position model. The record is from RNAcentral.
CCUACGGGCGGCAGCAGUAGGGAAUAUUGCUCAAGGGAGGAAACCCUGACGCAGCAACGCCGCGUGGAGGAUGACGGUUUUCGGAUUGUAAACUCCUUUUGUUAGAGACGAUAAUGACGGUAUCUAACGAAUAAGCACCGGCUAACUCCGGGCCAGCAGCCGCGGGAAUACGGAGGGUGCAAGCGUUACUCGGAAUCACUGGGCGUAAAGGGCGCCGCGGACGGAUAGGAAGGCAGAUGUGAAAUCUUAUGGCUUAAACAUGGAACUGAAUUUGAAACUGCUAUUCUAGAGUAUGGGAGAGGUAGGUGGAAUUCUUGGUGUAGGGGUAAAAUCCGUAGAGAUCAAGAGGAAUACUCAUUGCGAAGGCGACCUGCUAGAACAAAACUGACGCUGAUGCGCGAAAGCGUGGGGAGCAAACAGGAUUAGAUACCCCUGUAGUC